CGGCGUCGAACUUCAGAGAACUCAUUGUGUCGCGGAUUCGAUUCCGGCGGACGGCGCCAAUCUGUUAAGAACAGAUGCCGUAAUAUAGCUCGGCGAUGAACACACAACAACAAUCCUAACAAUCUAUGAACUCAGAUUUACGUGGUUCGGCAAAUCAAAGGCCUACAUCCACGGCGGAGUCACUGCAUUCAAUAGAUUCAAUCAAGUAAUUCUCAGCGAUUACACUAUGAAGAUGAAUAACACAAAAGUAUCUUUCUCUCCAGAUCUUACCACUCUUGUUUACACUCUUCCUAUACAAAUGUAUCACAAUCUAGAAAAACUCAUCAAUCUCUAACUAAUGGAUUGAACACAGCAUAUAUAGAGAAACAACAAGGAAGAAAAUGUGAGCUCCUCGCCAGCUGCAGAAAUAUCAGUUAUAA
RNAcentral lists this long non-coding RNA (419 nucleotides) under Salvia miltiorrhiza (redroot sage). Its description in RNAcentral is "long non-coding RNA (SMIL_LNC013081)". The record is from RNAcentral. Lineage: Eukaryota; Viridiplantae; Streptophyta; Magnoliopsida; Lamiales; Lamiaceae.